UACCCGCAGCACAAGUGGUGGUCAUUAUUAUUGGGCCUAAAGCGUCCGUAGCUGGCCUGUUAGAUGCCUGGGUAAAUCGAUGCGCUCAACGUAUCGAACUCCGGGUAGACCGGCAGGCUUGGGACCGGGAGAGAUGUGAGCUACUCGAGGGGUAGGGGUAAAAUCCUGUAAUCCUUCGGGGAGGACCAGUGGCGAAGGCGUCACAUUAGAACGGCUCCGACAGUGAAGGACGAAGCCCUGGGGCGCAAACCGG
This 253-nucleotide ribosomal RNA is filed under the name uncultured bacterium. Its description in RNAcentral is "partial 16S ribosomal RNA". It matches the Rfam family "Archaeal small subunit ribosomal RNA", at positions 474 to 727 of the family's 1478-position model. The record is from RNAcentral.